CCUACGGGUGGCUGCAGUGAGGAAUAUUGCGCAAUGGGGGCAACCCUGACGCAGCGACGCCGCGUGAGUGAGGAAGGCCUUCGGGUCGUAAAGCUCUGUCAAAGGGAAAGAAGUGUGCAAUGGCUAAUACCUGUUGCAUUUGACGGUACCCUUAAAGGAAGCACCGGCUAACUCCGUGCCAGCAGCCGCGGUAAUACGGAGGGUGCAAGCGUGGUUCGGAAUCGCUGGGCGGGAAUGAUAAGUCAGAGGUGAAAGCCCAUGGCUUAACUGUGGAAGUGCAUUUGAAACUGUCAGACUUGAGUAUCAGAGGGGAAAGUGGAAUUCCCGGUGUAGAGGUGAAAUUCGUAGAUAUCGGGAGGAAUACCGGUGGCGAAGGCGACUUUCUGGCUGAAUACUGACGCUGAGGCGCGAAAGCGUGGGGAGCAAACAGGAUUAGAUACCCCUGUAGUC
This 450-nucleotide ribosomal RNA is filed under the name uncultured bacterium. RNAcentral's name for it is "partial 16S ribosomal RNA". It matches the Rfam family "Bacterial small subunit ribosomal RNA", at positions 338 to 795 of the family's 1533-position model. The record is from RNAcentral.